RNAcentral lists this non-coding RNA (29 nucleotides) under Rattus norvegicus (Norway rat). Lineage: Eukaryota; Metazoa; Chordata; Mammalia; Rodentia; Muridae. The record is from RNAcentral.
UACAAAGCCCGGUACCAUCUAUCCCUUGC